Molecule: ribosomal RNA, 496 nt
Filed under: uncultured bacterium
Lineage: Bacteria
Description: partial 16S ribosomal RNA
Rfam family: Bacterial small subunit ribosomal RNA
Source: RNAcentral
AUGAACGCUGGCGGCGUGCCUAAUACAUGCAAGUCGAGCGAACGGACGAGAAGCUUGCUUUUCUGAUGUUAGCGGCGGACGGGUGAGUAACACGUGGAUAACCUACCUAUAAGACUGGGAUAACUUCGGGAAACCGGAGCUAAUACCGGAUAAUAUUUUGAACCGCAUGGUUCAAAAGUGAAAGACGGUCUUGCUGUCACUUAUAGAUGGAUCCGCGCUGCAUUAGCUAGUUGGUAAGGUAACGGCUUACCAAGGCAACGAUACAUAGCCGACCUGAGAGGGUGAUCGGCCACACUGGAACUGAGACACGGUCCAGACUCCUACGGGAGGCAGCAGUAGGGAAUCUUCCGCAAAGGGCGAAAGCCUGACGGAGCAACGCCGCGUGAGUGAUGAAGGUCUUCGGAUCGUAAAACUCUGUUAUUAGGGAAGAACAUAUGUGUAAGUAACUGUGCACAUCUUGACGGUACCUAAUCAGAAAGCCACGGCUAACUACGUG